AGUGAACGCUGGCGGUAGGCCUAACACAUGCAAGUCGAACGGCAGCACAGAGGAGCUUGCUCCUGGGGUGGCGAGUGGCGGACGGGUGAGGAAUACAUCGGAAUCUACUCUGUAGUGGGGGAUAACUAGUCGAAAGAUUAGCUAAUACCGCAUACGACCUGAGGGUGAAAGUGGGGGACCGCAAGGCCUCAUGCUAUAGGAGCGGCCGAUGUCUGAUUAGCUAGUUGGUGAGGUAAAGGCUCACCAAGCCGACGAUCUGUAGCUGGUCUGAGAGGACGACCAGCCACACUGGGACUGGGACACGGCCCAGACUCCUACGGGAGGCAGCAGUGGGGAAUUUUGGACAAUGGGCGCAAGCCUGAUCCAGCCAUUCCGCGUGCAGGACGAAGGCCUUCGGGUUGUAAACUGCUUUUGUACGGAACGAAAAGGCUCUGGUUAAUACCUGGGGCUCAUGACGGUACCGUAAGAAUAAGCACCGGCUAACUACGUGCCAGCCGCCGCAGUAA
RNAcentral lists this ribosomal RNA (506 nucleotides) under uncultured bacterium. Its description in RNAcentral is "partial 16S ribosomal RNA". It matches the Rfam family "Bacterial small subunit ribosomal RNA", at positions 29 to 523 of the family's 1533-position model. The record is from RNAcentral.